Molecule: ribosomal RNA, 253 nt
Filed under: uncultured bacterium
Lineage: Bacteria
Description: partial 16S ribosomal RNA
Rfam family: Bacterial small subunit ribosomal RNA
Source: RNAcentral
UACGUAGGGUGCAAGCGUUGUCCGGAAUUAUUGGGCGUAAAGAGCGUGUAGGCGGUCCGGUAAGUCCGCUGUGAAAGUCGGGGGCUCAACCCUCGGAUGCCGGUGGAUACUGUCGGGCUUGAGUACGGAAGAGGCGAGUGGAAUUCCUGGUGUAGCGGUGAAAUGCGCAGAUAUCAGGAGGAACACCAAUUGCGAAGGCAGCUCGCUGGGACGUUACUGACGCUGAGACGCGAAAGCGUGGGGAGCAAACAGG